Molecule: ribosomal RNA, 460 nt
Filed under: uncultured bacterium
Lineage: Bacteria
Description: partial 16S ribosomal RNA
Rfam family: Bacterial small subunit ribosomal RNA
Source: RNAcentral
CCUACGGGGUGCAGCAGUGAGGAAUAUUGGUCAAUGGACGAGAGUCUGAACCAGCCAAGUAGCGUGAAGGAUGACUGCCCUAUGGGUUGUAAACUUCUUUUAUAUGGGAAUAAAACGUUCCACGUGUGGGUUUUUGUAUGUCCCAUAUGAUUAAGGAUCGGCUAACUCCGUGCCAGCAGCCGCGGUAAUACGGAGGAUCCGAGGGUUAUCCGGAAUCAUUGGGGGUAAAGGGUUCGUAGGUGGCAUGUAAAGUCAGGUGUUAAAGGCGCAGGCUCAACCUGUGUAUGGCACUUGAUACUUGCAGGCUGGAGUGCGGGAGAGGUAAGUGGAAUUCCUGGUGUAGCGGUGAAAUGCUUAGAUAUCAGGAGGAACAUCGGUGGCGUAGGCGCUUUACUGGGCCGUAAUUGACGCUGAGGAACGAAAGCCAGGGUAGCAAAUGGGAUUAGAUACCCCAGUAGUC